Molecule: unclassified non-coding RNA, 255 nt
Filed under: Hevea brasiliensis (rubber tree)
Lineage: Eukaryota; Viridiplantae; Streptophyta; Magnoliopsida; Malpighiales; Euphorbiaceae
Source: RNAcentral
GCGACCAAAAGAUAGGAUCCACUGUGAAUGACGAUAACACCUUCACCCGCUGGUUUCGAAGUAUUUACACACCGUGCACAGAACCAAUGCUCGUGUAUCGAUGUGACUAUAUAUUGGUUUGGUCCAAUAAAGAAGUACUCCAUCUGAAGAUUGUUCCGUUUGACGAAGUCAAGAAAUGGGUACAAGUCAAUAGCCUUUAAUUGUAUCCCCUCCUGUUCUGCUAUGACAGACAAGAGCCGAGAAGGCGCAUUCGAG